AGUGAACGCUGGCGGUAGGCCUAACACAUGCAAGUCGAACGGCAGCACAGUAAGAGCUUGCUCUUACGGGUGGCGAGUGGCGGACGGGUGAGGAAUACAUCGGCAUCUACUUUUUCGUGGGGGAUAACGUAGGGAAACUUACGCUAAUACCGCAUACGACCUACGGGUGAAAGCAGGGGAUCUUCGGACCUUGCGCGAUUGAAUGAGCCGAUGUCGGAUUAGCUAGUUGGCGGGGUAAAGGCCCACCAAGGCGACGAUCCGUAGCUGGUCUGAGAGGAUGAUCAGCCACACUGGAACUGAGACACGGUCCAGACUCCUACGGGAGGCAGCAGUGGGGAAUAUUGGACAAUGGGCGCAAGCCUGAUCCAGCAAUACCGCGUGGGUGAAGAAGGCCUUCGGGUUGUAAAGCCCUUUUGUUGGGAAAGAAAAGCAGCAGGUUAAAACCCCGAUGUUCUGACGGUACCCAAAGAAUAAGCACCGGCUAACUUCGUG
RNAcentral lists this ribosomal RNA (492 nucleotides) under uncultured bacterium. Its description in RNAcentral is "partial 16S ribosomal RNA". It matches the Rfam family "Bacterial small subunit ribosomal RNA", at positions 29 to 507 of the family's 1533-position model. The record is from RNAcentral.